RNAcentral lists this ribosomal RNA (300 nucleotides) under uncultured Bacillus sp. Its description in RNAcentral is "bacterial SSU rRNA". It matches the Rfam family "Bacterial small subunit ribosomal RNA", at positions 496 to 795 of the family's 1533-position model. Lineage: Bacteria; Bacillati; Bacillota; Bacilli; Caryophanales; Bacillaceae. The record is from RNAcentral.
GGCAACGACGUGCCAGCGGCGAGGGUCAUAGGGGGGGGGUAUGGGUUGUCCGGAGUUAUUGGGCUGAAAGGGCGUGUAGGGGGCUUUGGAAGUACGUGGUGAAAACUCGAGGGUCAACCUCGAGACGCCGGUGGAAACUGCAAAGCUAGAGUCCGGAAGAGGAGAGUGGAAUUCCUGGUGUAGCGGUGAAAUGCGCAGAUAUCAGGAAGAACACCCGUGGCGAAGGCGGCUCUCUGGGACGGUACUGACGCUGAGACGCGAAAGCGUGGGGAGCGAACAGGAUUAGAUACCCGAGUAGUC